GACAGAGGUUGCAAACGUUGUUCGGAAUUACUGGGCGUAAAGCGAGUGUAGGCGGCCACGUAAGUCGGAUGUGAAAGCCCCGGGCUCAACCCGGGAAGUGCACUCGAUACUGCGUGGCUUGAGUACUGGAGAGGUUGGUGGAAUUCUCGGUGUAGAGGUGAAAUUCGUAGAUAUCGAGAGGAACACCGGUGGCGAAGGCGGCCAACUGGACAGAUACUGACGCUGAGACACGAAAGCGUGGGUAGCAAACAGG
Molecule: ribosomal RNA, 253 nt
Filed under: uncultured bacterium
Lineage: Bacteria
Description: partial 16S ribosomal RNA
Rfam family: Bacterial small subunit ribosomal RNA
Source: RNAcentral